UGGGGAAUAUUGCACAAUGGGCGAAAGCCUGAUGCAGCAACGCCGCGUGAGCGAUGAAGGCCUUCGGGUCGUAAAGCUCUGUCCUCAAGGAAGAUAAUGACGGUACUUGAGGAGGAAGCCCCGGCUAACUACGUGCCAGCAGCCGCGGUAAUACGUAGGGGGCAAGCGUUAUCCGGAAUUAUUGGGCGUAAAGAGUGCGUAGGUGGUUUCGUAAGCGCGAGGUGAAAGGCUAUGGCUCAACCAUAGUAAGCCUUGCGAACUGUGAGACUUGAGUGCAGGAGAGGAAAGUGGAAUUCCUAGUGUAGCGGUGAAAUGCGUAGAUAUUAGGAGGAACACCAGUGGCGAAGGCGACUUUCUGGACUGUUACUGACACUGAGGCACGAAAGCGUGGGGAGCAAACAGG
This 403-nucleotide ribosomal RNA is filed under the name uncultured prokaryote. Its description in RNAcentral is "bacterial SSU rRNA". It matches the Rfam family "Bacterial small subunit ribosomal RNA", at positions 355 to 776 of the family's 1533-position model. The record is from RNAcentral. RNAcentral also lists the same sequence under 1 other name.